CAAGACACUAUGGUGUAAAAGCAGAUUUUAUUUUUCAGAAUUGUUUAGACUGAAAGUCCAGGAUCAAGGUAGUAGAAAUUUUUGUUUUGGUGAGGACAUGUGUCCUGCUGCAAAUAUGACAGGCUUCACCAGAAGAGAGGGAGCAAAUUCUGUCUGCAUUCCCAUUUGGACACUAAUCCCAUUCAUAGGAGGUGUAUAAUAAAGAACCUAUGUAACUUAAUUACCUCACAAUGAUAUAAUAGUCAUAGUACAGAGAAGGAUAAGAACAUGAAUUUUUGGCCUUGACAGUCUUAGUUUGUAUCAUUACGGUAGUAGAAUUGAUGAUAAUCUGGAUUGGAGGAUUUCCUUUAAAGAUCCCUGUGCCUUUCAUGUAGGUUUCAGUCCAACAACUACCAGUACAUUCUGGCCUUGGUUUUUACCAUUGAGGAGAUCAACAAGAAUCCAAAUUCUUUACCCAACAUGACCUUGGGAUUUGAUCUCUACAAUUUCAUGCAUAGUGAAGUGAUGAUGAUGGAGAAUCCCUUCUUCUGGCUUGUGGGCCUGGAAAAGGAGGUUCCUAAUUACACAUGUAGGAAACAGAGCAAGUCUGUAGCAGUAAUAUCUGGAACAAGCAUUGCUGUCCAAAUGGGGACACUGCUGGAACUCUACAAAAUUCCACAGCUACACCCAAUUCUCAAGAAUCUCCAAUUUACCAGUCCUGUGGGUGACCUAGUGAAUUUGAAUCAAAAGUGGAAAUUGGAAGCUGAAUAUGACAUCCUCAACUUUUGGGAUUUUCCAUAUGGUGUUAGACGUAAGGUUAAAGUAGGACAGUUUUCCCCAUAUGUUCUACAUGCCCAACAGUUGUCUCUGAGAAUUUGAUAGAGUGGGCCACAGGAAUCACAGAGUGAGAGUUGCAGCCCUGGGUUCAGGAAAACCCCUCUGGAGGGAAAGCAUACCUGUUGUUUCGAUUGUACACCUUGUACAGAGAAUGAGAUUUCCAAUCAGACAGGUAAGUCAGUGCCAGCCUCAUGGAGAAUUUAACAGCUGUUUCUUAUAAUUUGCAACUUCUCUAUAGAGAUAAAAGAUGUGGCCUAUGACUGCUGAGAAAAUUCUUCCCACCUCCAGGUAGUAAUUAAUCCUUAUAGUCAACAAUAAUUCUCACAAGGAUGAAAGUUUUCACACUACCCUCUAUUUCAUGAAUUAUUUGAGAAAGUGUAUAAAAGACUGAUUGUCAUUGGAAGGCUGACCAUGUUAGAGUUCAGGAUGAUAUAUGUUGUAAAAUAUGAACAGAACCAAUAUUUAAGAAUAUUUACCCCAUAAAACAAUGUGGGACUUCUCUGAUUUAUUCCACUUAGCAGUAAUAUGCCAUCAUCACAUGUAUCAUGAAAAUUUUCCAAUUUCUGUUUAUUUUGGAUGAUUAGUUAUUUUCACCAUAUAUUAGGUAUCAUUCCAAUUUGAAACUUAUUGAUAAUUGUGAUAGAUUCUGGCAACAGAGUACAAUCCAUGUAAGAUGUCCUAUGUGCAACUUCAUUAUAGGUAACUUUGUAUCUGUGUUCCUUGUGCAUGUAUAAAUAAAAGUGCUUUCACCUAAUUCA
Long non-coding RNA from Oryctolagus cuniculus (rabbit), 1574 nucleotides. NCBI's taxonomy places the organism in Eukaryota, Metazoa, Chordata, Mammalia, Lagomorpha, Leporidae. The record is from Ensembl.